GAUGAACGCUGGCGGCGUGCCUAAUACAUGCAAGUCGAGCGAACGGACGAGAAGCUUGCUUCUCUGAUGUUAGCGGCGGACGGGUGAGUAACACGUGGAUAACCUACCUAUAAGACUGGGAUAACUUCGGGAAACCGGAGCUAAUACCGGAUGAUAUUUUGAACCGCAUGGUUCAAAAGUGAAAGACGGUCUUGCUGUCACUUAUAGAUGGAUCCGCGCUGCAUUAGCUAGUUGGUAAGGUAACGGCUUACCAAGGCAACGAUGCAUAGCCGACCUGAGAGGGUGAUCGGCCACACUGGAACUGAGACACGGUCCAGACUCCUACGGGAGGCAGCAGUAGGGAAUCUUCCGCAAUGGGCGAAAGCCUGACGGAGCAACGCCGCGUGAGUGAUGAAGGUCUUCGGAUCGUAAAACUCUGUUAUUAGGGAAGAACAUAUGUGUAAGUAACUGUGCACAUCUUGACGGUACCUAAUCAGAAAGCCACGGCUAAUUACGUGCCAGCAGCCGCGGUAAUACGUAGGUGGCAAGCGUUAUCCGGAAUUAUUGGGCGUAAAGCGCGCGUAGGCGGUUUUUUAAGUCUGAUGUGAAAGCCCACGGCUCAACCGUGGAGGGUCAUUGGAAACUGGAAAACUUGAGUGCAGAAGAGGAAAGUGGAAUUCCAUGUGUAGCGGUGAAAUGCGCAGAGAUAUGGAGGAACACCAGUGGCGAAGGCGACUUUCUGGUCUGUAACUGACGCUGAUGUGCGAAAGCGUGGGGAUCGAACAGGAUUAGAUACCCUGGUAGUCCACGCCGUAAACGAUGAGUGCUAAGUGUUAGGGGGUUUCCGCCCCUUAGUGCUGCAGCUAACGCAUUAAGCACUCCGCCUGGGGAGUACGACCGCAAGGUUGAAACUCAAAGGAAUUGACGGGGACCCGCACAAGCGGUGGAGCAUGUGGUUUAAUUCGAAGCAACGCGAAGAACCUUACCAAAUCUUGACAUCCUUUGACAACUCUAGAGAUAGAGCCUUCCCCUUCGGGGGACAAAGUGACAGGUGGUGCAUGGUUGUCGUCAGCUCGUGUCGUGAGAUGUUGGGUUAAGUCCCGCAACGAGCGCAACCCUUAAGCUUAGUUGCCAUCAUUAAGUUGGGCACUCUAAGUUGACUGCCGGUGACAAACCGGAGGAAGGUGGGGAUGACGUCAAAUCAUCAUGCCCCUUAUGAUUUGGGCUACACACGUGCUACAAUGGACAAUACAAAGGGCAGCGAAACCGCGAGGUCAAGCAAAUCCCAUAAAGUUGUUCUCAGUUCGGAUUGUAGUCUGCAACUCGACUACAUGAAGCUGGAAUCGCUAGUAAUCGUAGAUCAGCAUGCUACGGUGAAUACGUUCCCGGGUCU
RNAcentral lists this ribosomal RNA (1372 nucleotides) under uncultured bacterium. RNAcentral describes it as "bacterial SSU rRNA". It matches the Rfam family "Bacterial small subunit ribosomal RNA", at positions 28 to 1381 of the family's 1533-position model. The record is from RNAcentral.